UGGGGAAUUUUGCACAAUGGGGGAAACCCUGAUGCAGCGACGCCGCGUGAUUUAGAAGGCCUUCGGGUUGUAAAAAUCUUUUGUAUGGGAAGAAAAUGACAGUACCAUACGAAUAAGGACCGGCUAAUUACGUGCCAGCAGCCGCGGUAAAACGUAAGGUCCGAGCGUUGUCCGGAAUCAUUGGGCGUAAAGGGUACGUAGGCGGAUAAGCAAGUUAGAAGUGAAAUCCUAUAGCUCAACUAUAGUAAGCUUUUAAAACUGCUCAUCUUGAGGUAUGGAAGGGAAAGUGGAAUUCCUAGUGUAGCGGUGAAAUGCGCAGAUAUUAGGAGGAAUACCGGUGGCGAAGGCGACUUUCUGGCCAUAUACUGACGCUGAGGUACGAAAGCGUGGGUAGCAAACAGG
This 402-nucleotide ribosomal RNA is filed under the name Verrucomicrobiota bacterium. Its description in RNAcentral is "Verrucomicrobia bacterium partial 16S ribosomal RNA". It matches the Rfam family "Bacterial small subunit ribosomal RNA", at positions 355 to 776 of the family's 1533-position model. Lineage: Bacteria; Pseudomonadati; Verrucomicrobiota. The record is from RNAcentral.